AAUAAGGAUAUUAGAAUCAUCCCCUCUCACAGAUUACAACGUCCUUGUUGCUCCCCAAAAUUGUACGUAAGCAAUGUUAGUGUGAGCCAACAUAGGACUCCAUACUUGUAUGUGUUUGUUCUGAUACCACCACUAACAGCUAAUAGGCCUCUUAUGCCCGUUCACUCGGCAUGUGGGACACAUUCUGUCUACGGGCGGUGCAUUAAUAUUUUGGAUGCUCCAAAGACUUGUUUAUUGACCAUGCAAUCACCACAUGAUCUAUAUCAUGAUUUGAACUCAAUCGCAUGAUAUAGUGAAUCACUUUCCGAUAUGUCACCCAUCGGUUUAUUUUACUCUGGCUCAAGCAUGCUUAAUUGUGGAUAAGUGCACUUUGGUGACAUAGGUAGCCAAAUCAAUUUUGCUAAGCCUUUCAACAUACAUACAAUACACCACAAACCGAGAUGUUACAACCACCCACUCUCAUAUAACGCAAUGUCCUUGUUGCGCAACAACAUCGUCACCCAUGUUAGUGUGUGCCCACGCAAACUCCACACUCGUUUGGGUUUAAUAAUGUUACCACUUGUAACAUCUCAACCGUCCACAACUAAUAGGCGUCCCAUGCACGAUCACUUGGCACGUGGGCCCCACCCUUUGAAAUUGGUGGUGCGAGUAAAUUUUGAAGGUUUGGAAGACUUAUUUAUUGACCUUACAAUCACCACAUGAUUUUUCCG
RNAcentral lists this long non-coding RNA (710 nucleotides) under Brassica napus (rape). Its description in RNAcentral is "long non-coding RNA (BNAP_LNC015507)". The record is from RNAcentral. Lineage: Eukaryota; Viridiplantae; Streptophyta; Magnoliopsida; Brassicales; Brassicaceae.